AGACCCGAAACCCGGUGAUCUAGCCAUGGGCAGGUUGAAGGUUGGGUAACACUAACUGGAGGACCGAACCGACUAAUGUUGAAAAAUUAGCGGAUGACCUGUGGCUGGGGGUGAAAGGCCAAUCAAACCGGGAGAUAGCUGGUUCUCCCCGAAAGCUAUUUAGGUAGCGCCUCGUGAAUUCAUCUCCGGGGGUAGAGCACUGUUUCGGCUAGGGGGCCAUCCCGGCUUACCAACCCGAUGCAAACUGCGAAUACCGGAGAAUGUUAUCACGGGAGACACACGGCGGGUGCUAACGUCCGUCGUGAAGAGGGAAACAACCCAGACCGCCAGCUAAGGUCCCAAAGUCAUGGUUAAGUGGGAAACGAUGUGGGAAGGCCCAGACAGCCAGGAUGUUGGCUUAGAAGCAGCCAUCAUUUAAAGAAAGCGUAAUAGCUCACUGGUCGAGUCGGCCUGCGCGGAAGAUGUAACGGGGCUAAACCAUGCACCGAAGCUGCGGCAGCGACACUGUGUGUUGUUGGGUAGGGGAGCGUUCUGUAAGCCUGCGAAGGUGGCCUGUGAGGGUUGCUGGAGGUAUCAGAAGUGCGAAUGCUGACAUAAGUAACGAUAAAGCGGGUGAAAAGCCCGCUCGCCGGAAGACCAAGGGUUCCUGUCCAACGUUAAUCGGGGCAGGGUGAGUCGACCCCUAAGGCGAGGCCGAAAGGCGUAGUCGAUGGGAAACGGGUUAAUAUUCCCGUACUUGGUGUUACUGCGAAGGGGGGACGGAGAAGGCUAUGUUGGCCGGGCGACGGUUGUCCCGGUUUAAGCGUGUAGGUGUGUGUUCCAGGUAAAUCCGGUUCACUUUAACACUGAGGCGUGACGACGAGGCACUACGGUGCUGAAGCAACAAAUGCCCUGCUUCCAGGAAAAGCCUCUAAGCAUCAGGUAACAUCAAAUCGUACCCCAAACCGACACAGGUGGUCAGGUAGAGAAUACCAAGGCGCUUGAGAGAACUCGGGUGAAGGAACUAGGCAAAAUGGUGCCGUAACUUCGGGAGAAGGCACGCUGACACGUAGGUGAAGUGAUUUACUCAUGGAGCUGAAGUCAGUCGAAGAUACCAGCUGGCUGCAACUGUUUAUUAAAAACACAGCACUGUGCAAACACGAAAGUGGACGUAUACGGUGUGACGCCUGCCCGGUGCCGGAAGGUUAAUUGAUGGGGUCAGCGCAAGCGAAGCUCCUGAUCGAAGCCCCGGUAAACGGCGGCCGUAACUAUAACGGUCCUAAGGUAGCGAAAUUCCUUGUCGGGUAAGUUCCGACCUGCACGAAUGGCGUAAUGAUGGCCAGGCUGUCUCCACCCGAGACUCAGUGAAAUUGAACUCGCUGUGAAGAUGCAGUGUACCCGCGGCAAGACGGAAAGACCCCGUGAACCUUUACUAUAGCUUGACACUGAACAUUGAGCCUUGAUGUGUAGGAUAGGUGGGAGGCUUUGAAGUGUGGACGCCAGUCUGCAUGGAGCCGACCUUGAAAUACCACCCUUUAAUGUUUGAUGUUCUAACGUGGACCCGUUACCCGGGUUGCGGACAGUGUCUGGUGGGUAGUUUGACUGGGGCGGUCUCCUCCUAAAGAGUAACGGAGGAGCACGAAGGUUGGCUAAUCCUGGUCGGACAUCAGGAGGUUAGUGCAAUGGCAUAAGCCAGCUUGACUGCGAGCGUGACGGCGCGAGCAGGUGCGAAAGCAGGUCAUAGUGAUCCGGUGGUUCUGAAUGGAAGGGCCAUCGCUCAACGGAUAAAAGGUACUCCGGGGAUAACAGGCUGAUACCGCCCAAGAGUUCAUAUCGACGGCGGUGUUUGGCACCUCGAUGUCGGCUCAUCACAUCCUGGGGCUGAAGUAGGUCCCAAGGGUAUGGCUGUUCGCCAUUUAAAGUGGUACGCGAGCUGGGUUUAGAACGUCGUGAGACAGUUCGGUCCCUAUCUGCCGUGGGCGCUGGAGAACUGAGGGGGGCUGCUCCUAGUACGAGAGGACCGGAGUGGACGCAUCACUGGUGUUCGGGUUGUCAUGCCAAUGGCACUGCCCGGUAGCUAAAUGCGGAAGAGAUAAGUGCUGAAAGCAUCUAAGCACGAAACUUGCCCCGAGAUGAGUUCUCCCUGAGACUUAAAGUCUCCUGAAGGAACGUUGAAGACGACGACGUUGAUAGGCCGGGUGUGUAAGCGCA
This 2190-nucleotide ribosomal RNA is filed under the name Salmonella enterica. RNAcentral's name for it is "partial 23S ribosomal RNA". It matches the Rfam family "Bacterial large subunit ribosomal RNA", at positions 711 to 2877 of the family's 2925-position model. Lineage: Bacteria; Pseudomonadati; Pseudomonadota; Gammaproteobacteria; Enterobacterales; Enterobacteriaceae. RNAcentral also lists the same sequence under 1 other name. The record is from RNAcentral.